Apteryx rowi (Okarito brown kiwi) is the source of this 2364-nucleotide long non-coding RNA. Ensembl annotates it as transcription initiation factor TFIID subunit 4-like. The record is from Ensembl. Lineage: Eukaryota; Metazoa; Chordata; Aves; Apterygiformes; Apterygidae.
AAAAACCUGAGCGGAUCGGCAGACAGGAACAGCCGAGCCGGGCCAGCCUGCCGUUCGGACAAGGUGAGCGCCGGCCCCAGGCUGAGCAGAGGGCUGGGAGACCCGCGGCUGGCGGGGUUGUGCGGGCUGAGCCCCAGCAAGCUCAUGACAAAGUGAUCAGCCAUCAAACUCCCCCCUCCCUGCCCGGGGCUGCUUUCUUCUCUGUCUUCCAGGACCAGAAGAUCCUGCUGUCCAUCUACAACAUCAGCAUGUCCCUGCGGGACGUGGCGGCCGGCACGCUGCGUGGCCCCGAGGAGGUGGCGGUGUGGAAGGUGGCCAGGAACACGGAGGUCGUGCUUAGGGACUGCAGGAAAAUCUGCAAGGUGGGAGCCCCUGCCCCUUCCCAGGCGCCCCAGUGGCUCCCGGUUUCCCAGCCGGGCUGCGGGUAGAGCCUGCCCUGUUGCACGCGCUCUCCUGGCUGCCGCUUGGGAGCCUUCAGGCUCUUCUCCCCGCGGCGUCGCGGUGGGGKUGAAGGUCUGCGCCGGCUUUAUGGCGGGGGGGUGGCGAAGGCACACCCCGGUGAGCUUUACACCGCCCGGCCCUGGCCCUGGGGAGCGAAGUCCGGCGGUGCCAGCGCGGGACGGGCUGGUGGGUUCUUACCAGUUUGUCACCUGCCCUUGGGCCGCGAUGCCGCGGCCGGUGGGGACGCGGAGCCUCCCUGGGUGUCCGAGCCCAGCUGGGCGGCAGGAUGCUCACUUGCCGGGUGGGCUCCCCCCGGAUGCUCUCUGGGAAGAGCAGAGAAAGGUGCCAGAGCAAGAAACCGGGUCUCUCCCCAGGAGGCCGGUCUGCAAACGGGCUUGUGCUGCAUUCCUGGGACUCUGCCGGGGAAACCCCGGCCAGAAGCGUCGCCCAUGGGUGGCAGCAGCAAAUAACCCAUUAACGGGCAGGGGAGGCCCYGGGGCGGCAAAGUGCCACCUGCCAGGCUGCCGCCGGCUCUGGCCACGCUCAGGCCGUCUGGGAGGACGCUUGUCCCUUCCCGCCAUCGCCGAAGAAACGGACUUGGGUUUAAUUCCCGGAGGUCUCCUGGCCUGGGAUGGGGAUGCCUCCGGUCUGCAGAGUCACCCGGAGCCUGGCUUUGGGACAAGGCCUGGCCUCGGGGUGUCUGGGGCCACCGCAGGCUUGGGGGGGGGCUGGCUGGCUCUGCUGCAGACCCGAGCUGUCCGCGGAGCACGUCCUCGCCGUAGCCGCGGGUUUGCAGGGCAGCGAUGUCCCGGGCACGUCCUCGCCCGCGACUUGGUGCCGACUCAGUGGCUUUUGUCCCCACUGCUAACGCCUGUGCCGUGGGGGGGUUGUUCCCGCUUCCUUGGCGUGCCCCCAGCAGAGCCUGCCGCCAGCCCCGGCGCAGCCCCGGCGCGGAGGGCCCGGCCGCCGCAGGAAGCAGCUGAAGGAGAUCGCGCGGAAGGCGGAGAGGCUGUCGACGUGCUGGGAGAAGCUCUACGCGCUCCGCUCCCCCGGCCGGGACUCCUAGGUCCUGCCUCCGCGGCGGCACGGCGGCGCCCGUCACCUCGCCCUCCCUGGCAGGUGUCUUGUUCCCAAAUCUGGAGCAAAUUCAACUCCGCAGUCAGCUGAGUCGAUAUCGGCGGGUGCCAGAGUUGAAUUCGUCCUUUCGUUUCAAGUGAUGCCCUGGGAACCGGCCCUGGCGCAGGUGCUGGAUGCCGGCGGGCUCCUUCCCUGUAGGAUGGCUGCACAAGCUGGCUGGAAAACCAGAAACUGGGGGAAGAGGAGGGGGUAGUGCUGGAAAAAGGAAGAGACAUUAAUUUCCGUGAUGCUCCUGUCCCUGGCUAUGCAUCGCCCGCCACUUUCUUGGGGACAACGGUCGCUUUUCUGAGCAUGAGGAAGAGGAUUUGGGUCACGGGCCUGAGAUUCCUGUUGGAACUGGACUGCUGAAUAUCUGCAAGUCUCUGAUGGUGGCCAGGGUGUGUGCACGGACAAAUGUCCUUCUUGCAUGACCGUGGCCCUGAGAUGCGCGGAGCAGCGUAACCCCAGAGGUCGGGGGUGACCUGGAUGCAGGACUGUGGGCACUGGGGAAGCAAACAGGAGCCGCUGGCCACUGAGGGCAAAUAAGCAGCAAAAAGGGGGGAAUGGUGGCCAAACCUCUGUGUGCCCMCAAGGGCUUGAACCUGGUGGAGAUGGGCAGCAUCUCCCGGCCAGCGUGUGAGUGCGGCGGGACCUGGCUCCUCGGAGGCAUGGGCACCCUGGCACCCYGAGGGAGGCUUGGUGAGCGGAGGACCCCUCCAUCCUUGCGUGCGCCCCUGCUGCCCUCGGGUGGGCGAUAGCCCCCGAGAAGAAAAUAAAACCUCUCCUUCCCCUGGAGGCCUCUGCCUG